GCAAACUUGGUCAUUUAGAGGAAGUAAAAGUCGUAACAAGGUUUCCGUAGGUGAACCUGCGGAAGGAUCAUUAACGAGUGUAAUCUACCCUAAAGGGUGGUAACCUCCCGUCCUUUGCAGGCCCCCCCUUUUUUAUUGAGGGGGGGGCUUUUUAAGACUUUCUGCUUCGGCGGGGUUAUUCCCGCCGGAACACCCUCAAAAAAUCUUGAUCAAUAAAACAGUUCAGUCCGAGAAUUUUUGAAAAUAUAAAAAAACUUUCAACAACGGAUCUCUUGGUUCUGGCAUCAAUGAAGAACGCAGC
Molecule: unclassified non-coding RNA, 301 nt
Filed under: uncultured fungus
Lineage: Eukaryota; Fungi
Description: partial contains small subunit ribosomal RNA, internal transcribed spacer 1, and 5.8S ribosomal RNA
Rfam family: Eukaryotic small subunit ribosomal RNA (bases 1-73)
Source: RNAcentral